UGCGUAGGCGGAUCUGUAAGUCAGUGGUGAAAUCUCAUAGCUUAACUAUGAAACUGCCAUUGAUACUGCAGGUCUUGAGUAAGGUAGAAGUAGCUGGAAUAAGUAGUGUAGCGGUGAAAUGCAUAGAUAUUACUUAGAACACCAAUUGCGAAGGCAGGUUACUAUGUCUUAACUGACGCUGAUGGACGAAAGCGUGGGGAGCGAACAGGAUUAGAUACCCUGGUAGUC
This 228-nucleotide ribosomal RNA is filed under the name uncultured bacterium. RNAcentral's name for it is "partial 16S ribosomal RNA". It matches the Rfam family "Bacterial small subunit ribosomal RNA", at positions 568 to 795 of the family's 1533-position model. The record is from RNAcentral.